Faecalibacterium prausnitzii is the source of this 65-nucleotide regulatory RNA element. It matches the Rfam family "pemK RNA". Lineage: Bacteria; Bacillati; Bacillota; Clostridia; Eubacteriales; Oscillospiraceae. The record is from Rfam.
AUAAUGAUACUUCCGUAAUUCGCGGCCCGGUCAUAAAGAAGACGGGGUGGCCGAGAGGCCAAUGG